Molecule: ribosomal RNA, 445 nt
Filed under: uncultured bacterium
Lineage: Bacteria
Description: bacterial SSU rRNA
Rfam family: Bacterial small subunit ribosomal RNA
Source: RNAcentral
GGCGCACGGGUGCGUAACACGUGGAUAAUCUGCCUGAGUGCCCGGGAUAACCAGUCGAAAGAUUGGCUAAUACCGGAUAAGCCCACGGUCUCUUCGGAGAUUGAGGGAAAAGGUGGCCUCUGUAUACAAGCUAUCACAUUCAGAUGAGUCCGCGGCCCAUCAGCUAGUUGGCGGGGUAAUGGCCCACCAAGGCAACGACGGGUAGCUGGUCUGAGAGGACGAUCAGCCACACUGGAACUGAGACACGGUCCAGACUCCUACGGGAGGCAGCAGUGGGGAAUUUUGCGCAAUGGGCGAAAGCCUGACGCAGCAACGCCGCGUGUGUGAUGGAGGUCUUCGGAUUGUAAAGCACUUUCGACCGGGACGAAAACCCGUAGCCCAAUACGCUACGGCUUGACGGUACCGGGAGAAGAAGCACCGGCUAACUCUGUGCCAGCAGCCGCGG